AAUGAACGCUGGCGGCAGGCUUAACACAUGCAAGUCGAACGCCCCGCAAGGGGAGUGGCAGACGGGUGAGUAACGCGUGGGAAUCUACCUAGUUCUACGGAACAACAGAGGGAAACUUCUGCUAAUACCGUAUACGCCCUAUGGGGGAAAGAUUAUCGGAAUUAGAUGAGCCCGCGUAAGAUUAGCUAGUUGGUGAGGUAAUGGCUCACCAAGGCGACGAUCUUUAGCUGGUCUGAGAGGAUGAUCAGCCACACUGGGACUGAGACACGGCCCAGACUCCUACGGGAGGCAGCAGUGGGGAAUAUUGGACAAUGGGCGCAAGCUUGAUCCAGCCAUGCCGCGUGAGUGAUGAAGGCCUUAGGGUUGUAAAGCUCUUUCAGUGGGGAAGAUAAUGACGGCACCCACAGAAGAAGCCCCGGCUAACUUCGUGCCAGCCGCCGCGGUAA
This 446-nucleotide ribosomal RNA is filed under the name uncultured bacterium. RNAcentral describes it as "partial 16S ribosomal RNA". It matches the Rfam family "Bacterial small subunit ribosomal RNA", at positions 29 to 523 of the family's 1533-position model. The record is from RNAcentral.